GCCUUCUUAGCUCAGUUGGUAGAGCGCGACACUAGUACUAUACAGGCCCCCUGUAUACGCGCCAUGUCGAGGUCGCCAGUUCGACUCUGUCAGGAGGCA
This is a transfer RNA of 99 nucleotides. It matches the Rfam family "tRNA". Rfam says of the family: Transfer RNA (tRNA) molecules are approximately 80 nucleotides in length. Their secondary structure includes four short double-helical elements and three loops (D, anti-codon, and T loops). Further hydrogen bonds mediate the characteristic L-shaped molecular structure. tRNAs have two regions of fundamental functional importance: the anti-codon, which is responsible for specific mRNA codon recognition, and the 3' end, to which the tRNAs corresponding amino acid is attached (by aminoacyl-tRNA synthetases). tRNAs cope with the degeneracy of the genetic code in two manners: having more than one tRNA (with a specific anti-codon) for a particular amino acid; and 'wobble' base-pairing, i.e. permitting non-standard base-pairing at the 3rd anti-codon position. The record is from Rfam.